AGUGAACGCUGGCGGUAGGCCUAACACAUGCAAGUCGAACGGCAGCACAGUAAGAGCUUGCUCUUACGGGUGGCGAGUGGCGGACGGGUGAGGAAUACAUCGGAAUCUACUUUUUCGUGGGGGAUAACGUAGGGAAACUUACGCUAAUACCGCAUACGACCUACGGGUGAAAGCAGGGGAUCUUCGGACCUUGCGCGAUUGAAUGAGCCGAUGUCGGAUUAGCUAGUUGGCGGGGUAAAGCCCCACCAAGGCGACGAUCCGUAGCUGGUCUGAGAGGAUGAGGAGCAAGAAGUGGAGUGAGACACGGUCCGGACGCCUACGUGAGGCAGCAGUGGGGAAGAUUGGACACUGGGCGAAAGAUAUAUAGAGCCAUGCAGGGAAAGGGAAGAAGGUCUGCGGGCUCUAAAGCACUAUAAGGUGGAAUGAAAGGCAGUAAGGUAAUACCUUGAAGUUAUGACGUGACGAACAGAAUAGACACAGGCAAACUUGAUG
This 492-nucleotide ribosomal RNA is filed under the name uncultured bacterium. RNAcentral describes it as "partial 16S ribosomal RNA". It matches the Rfam family "Bacterial small subunit ribosomal RNA", at positions 29 to 507 of the family's 1533-position model. The record is from RNAcentral.